This is a long non-coding RNA of Betta splendens (Siamese fighting fish), 1393 nucleotides long. RefSeq lists it as uncharacterized. The record is from RefSeq and is a predicted model, not a curated record. The transcript has 2 exons. NCBI's taxonomy places the organism in Eukaryota, Metazoa, Chordata, Actinopteri, Anabantiformes, Osphronemidae.
UGCAGCCUGUCGCGAACAUCUGGCCACACGGGGAGAAGCAACAGGCCACGACGCUGGCCUCGCUCACCGCGCUGCAUCUGAGACACACAUCACACAGUUGGCUGCCACUUUGCAGGGAGAGCAGAGCAGCAGGGGCUGAUCGGGGAACAUUAAUCCGGACUUCAGAACAUGAGGAUCGGAUUUAAAGCCUUGGAGCCGAAGUCCCAGAGGGCCACGGUGCCGUCGCAGGCCCCGGCCAGCAGCAGCGAGGAGUCCGGAGCCAGCGCGCAUGCGCGCACCGGGCUGCGCGACGGGUGCCGCAGCACCGCCGCCGCCUCGCCGGAGCGCGGCCGCCACGCGACGACGGAGCCGUCCGUGGAGCAGCUGAGCAGGUAGCGGCCGCAGGCGCUGAAGCAGCAGCAGUGCACGCCGUAGUCGUGGCCCGCGAGGGGGGAACACGGGAGCUCCGCGAAGUCCGCCGCGUCGUACACGCGCAGGGUUUUGUCGCCGGAGCAGGUGGCGAGCAGGGUCGGCGAGAAGGCGCAGCCGCUGACCUCGUCCGCGUGGCCGCGGAGGGUGCGGAGGAGCGAGGCCAUGUUCCGCAAAAGCAGCGCUGGACUCGCGAGGUGGCGCAAAACGCUCAGACGGGCGAGCGAAGUGGGGUCGAAUCCCAAACAGCUGGCGAGAGAAGAACUGAGGGACCUAAAGCACUUCCGCCUCGUGCCCACGCUGUUAUCAGUCACGUGUGUUUAUUAUCAACACCAUGUUCAAAGGUUAAACCACUAGAAUACGUCGUCAUAUACCUUUUAAUUUUAAUCUGCACCACACAGUUACCACUGCUUCCACCACAUUCACCUUAAAACGACUUGAGCUGCGUUCAGAUUCCUCCAGGUCCAAACCGUGUCCGGUCCCAGCUGGACGCCAGCUCCACGGGGCGCCUGGCUCGGUUUGACGCAAAUGCUUGGAGGCGGAACGCACCGGGUGAAUUCUGUUUGGAACUUUAUUCCCAGGUUUCCUAUACACUCCUCCCUCCACCGUUUAUUAAAGGCCACGCACUGCAACACUGAGGGGACCGCAGCGUUCGAGGUCAUAUUAGCACAGGUAAUGUACAGUGUUAGGCAAGAAUGUAUUAUAUGCUACAAUCAUCACUGUGCAACGACAACAGGUUCAACACGACUGUUCCGUGGGUCCACGUCUGUUAGAUAUCAGGCUCUUAAACAGUAAAACACAAGCUAAACAUGUACAGCACCACUUCAGUUUGUCCUCUCACACAUGUACAGUAGGUGAACACUAGUACUGCUGGUAUCCUCUAUUCACGAAGCUGUAAACACUUUGAUUGGCUUGGUCAAUAGUGCCUAAAAUGAUCUUUACAUUUUAUUAAAGCUUCAUCAUCGUUUUUUUUUUUCUAAGAAAA